GACGAAGGGGGCUAGCGUUGUUCGGAAUUACUGGGCGUAAAGCGCGUGUAGGCGGUUGUUCAAGUCAGGUGUGAAAGCCUUGAGCUCAACUCAAGAAAUGCACUUGAUACUGGAUGACUAGAGGACCGGAGAGGAUAGUGAAUUCCCAGUGUAGUGGUGAAAUACGUAGAGAUUGGGAAGAACACCAGUGGCGAAGGCGGCUAUCUGGACGGUUUCUGACGCUAAGACGCGAAAGCGUGGGGAGCAAACAGG
This 252-nucleotide ribosomal RNA is filed under the name uncultured bacterium. RNAcentral's name for it is "partial 16S ribosomal RNA". It matches the Rfam family "Bacterial small subunit ribosomal RNA", at positions 524 to 776 of the family's 1533-position model. The record is from RNAcentral.